Molecule: ribosomal RNA, 538 nt
Filed under: uncultured bacterium
Lineage: Bacteria
Description: bacterial SSU rRNA
Rfam family: Bacterial small subunit ribosomal RNA
Source: RNAcentral
CCCUUAGGCCUUGACAUACUAAGAACUUUCCAGAGAUGGAUUGGUGCCUUCGGGAACUUAGAUACAGGUGCUGCAUGGCUGUCGUCAGCUCGUGUCGUGAGAUGUUGGGUUAAGUCCGCAACGAGCGCAACCCUUUUCCUUAUUUGCCAGCGGGUAAUGCCGGGAACUUUAAGGAUACUGCCAGUGACAAACUGGAGGAAGGCGGGGACGACGUCAAGUCAUCAUGGCCCUUACGGCCAGGGCUACACACGUGCUACAAUGGUCGGUACAAAGGGUUGCUACCUCGCGAGAGGAUGCUAAUCUCAAAAAGCCGAUCGUAGUCCGGAUCGCAGUCUGCAACUCGACUGCGUGAAGUCGGAAUCGCUAGUAAUCGCGGAUCAGAAUGCCGCGGUGAAUACGUUCCCGGGCCUUGUACACACCGCCCGUCACACCAUGGGAGUUUGUUGCACCAGAAGUAGGUAGUCUAACCGCAAGGAGGACGCUUACCACGGUGUGGCCGAUGACUGGGGUGAAGUCGUAACAAGGUAGGCGUAGAUGA